Molecule: transfer RNA, 84 nt
Filed under: Daphnia magna
Lineage: Eukaryota; Metazoa; Arthropoda; Branchiopoda; Diplostraca; Daphniidae
Also listed under: 1 other name
Description: tRNA-Leu
Rfam family: tRNA
About the family: Transfer RNA (tRNA) molecules are approximately 80 nucleotides in length.
Source: RNAcentral
ACCAGGUUGGCCGAGUGGUUAAGGCGUCAGACUUAAGAUCUGAUCUCUGAUAUAGAGACGAGGGUUCGAACCCCUCACCUGGUA